Long non-coding RNA from Talpa occidentalis (Iberian mole), 3570 nucleotides. RefSeq lists it as uncharacterized. NCBI's taxonomy places the organism in Eukaryota, Metazoa, Chordata, Mammalia, Eulipotyphla, Talpidae. The transcript has 5 exons. The record is from RefSeq and is a predicted model, not a curated record.
GUGCGGCAGGAGAGGUCUGUGCACCAUGUGGGACCCAUGCUGCUGGCUGGGGAUCAAACAGGCUCUGCAGAGGCUUUGGGCAGCUUCGCAGCCCAGAGCUCAACCCCUGUGCCAAAGCGGAGGCCCUCCAAGGGCAUUUUAGAGCACUGCUAUGUCCCUCUGUUAAAACAUGCAACUACCCAGUGGUUCUAAAAUCCUUUAGCAAGAGAAGAUGUCAUGUUCACAACAGAAGGAUGAGUGGUUGUAUUUGCUUCACUGCUAACAUGGUGUCUCGAUUUAUAAUUUGGUAAAGAGACAACAUAGAAGGCAUUCUAAAAUCUUUUAUAUGUAAGGACAAAAAGUAAAGCAGCACUUUAAAUGCAGCAUUAAUGUUCAAGAAAUAUUUCCUACAUGAAUCACACCAGAGUGAGAAAAUCCUGAUGCUCACAGCAUUGGAAGUGACUCUGAACUCUUUCUAGGACUUCUUUUUGGUGUGUGGCAGCAGGAGACUGAUCUCCUUUUUUCAUGAAGGAAAUGGAAGGUGCUGUUUACAUUGCUUUCAAAAGAAUUUUCUGAGAUGGUCUAAGUGGUCAAAGAACUAAGUCCCCAGUGUAAAUUUUACAAGAUAGAAAAAAAAAAAUCUGCGUCAUAAAAUGGCUAAGUACAACACAACAAAAUUGGACUUUGUUCAGCUGAAUCUAUCACUGACAGCUGCAGAAGUUUAAUCAAGUUCGUUACGUGUGUGUUGUGUCUAUAUAUUUUUCUUUUUGGCCAUCAAGACUUUAGUACAUAUUUCAAAUAUGGAUUUACUUCCUAAAUUCAGCCUUCAAAAAAACCCAUUUAACACAUGUAACAUGAAUCUUUCCUAUUCCUUACUUUCUAGCCCCCUUUUACAACACACAAUUUGCUAAAUGACCCUCGCUGCUGCAUCUGUUUCUCGCUGUCUGUCAGUCCGUCCAUCCAUAUCCGUAAGUUCUUGUCCUAAACCAGCAACUUUAAAGAAGUAGACCCAUCUUUGAUUUUCAUUCAUAGCCUAAUGAGGUAUAUCUGUGUGAAAAUGAUAACAAGAAUUAUGUCUAUGUUCCUAAAAUUAUUUUCAUUUGAGAUUCAUCAUACUUCAGCUUUUAUUGGUGCUAAAAAUAUCCUUAAAAUAUCACAAAAUUACCUCUUCCACAUCAAUGCUUACUAGAAGAGGUAGUGAAAUGUAGUAGGAAAAGAACAGAACAGAGCAUGCAGAGACUUCUGUUCUGGUCUCAAAUCAGGUGCUAACCACUUCCUCAACCUAGGGUUUUUGUUUGUCAAAUGGCAUUCUAUUGUCAUUGAAAUUUUCAGAUAUGGAUAUGUGAAUAGUUGUUUUGCAAUCCUGCAUUGUUUUUUUAAAACCAAGCUAGACAAUUAUUGUACAAUAGAAUGUAGCAAAAGUAAUUCCCCAGCAUUCUCAUUUUAUUCUUUCUUCUCUAAAACAGAUGCUGCUGGCAUUCCAAGUGUCUCCAGCCUUAGGGAGAUAAAACUUCUUUUGCUUGCUACAGUAUUUAUGUAUGCAAUUGAUUCUAGAAAACAAGGAAUGCAUUUUUAAGGAUGGCUUGAUUUUCGUUUGGAAAAAAAUAAAAGUUUGUACUAAAAACAUUAAAUCAGGUGCAGUUUAUGUGGCAACGAACUAAGGAAAACCAGAUAGUAAAUAAUACAGAGAAUCUUGCACAUUCAAGCACUCAAAAAGAAAAUGAGAAGAGAAGAAACUGCACAAGUAUUGAACGAACACGGAGGACAUAAACAAAAUAGUGACUGACACCAUCUAAAAUUGCUUUCAUUCCCUCUUAACACUUUUCACUCAACGACUUCUUUAUAACUUUCAAUUAACCCACACCCUCUGCUUGCUAUGUCUCUUUUUUACUGCCAGUGAUAUUUAAAGGAGAUACUAAAUUAUAGAUCUAGACAUGUUUAAAAGACUUCUUGUUACUGGUUUUGGUGUGCUGUGUCUGAUUUUAAAUUUCAAAGGGUGUGGAACUCACUAGAUUAGUUAAAAUCUAGUGUUAGGAUUGCUUGUGAUUAGAACUCCCAAGCCUGGCACUGACUGACUGGUGUGGUCUACACUGAGACAGUGUUAGAGAGCCAUGUGCAUGAAAGUGGGGGAGCAUUGCAGAACAUUGGAUGGGCACCACUUCCCCAGCCCCCUCUUCCAUGCAGCCAUAUUGGACAACAAACUCCAGUGUGGCAUGAACUGGACUUCCUGAGCAGGGGAGUUACUGGGGACAGGGGCAGUGCUGAAUGGACUGUAGAACAAGGAAGGCAGGUGGGCCUGGACUUUGGCUUUUUCAGCUUGGACUUGCACCCAGGGACUUGGGAGAGACACGCAGAGUCACUUGGAAGAGACACAGUGGUAGAGAUAGAUAUAAGGAGCAGAUGCUCUGCUGGGCCUUGGCAGAGAGAGUGGCAGAUGUUGUCCUGACUUCAUGGUAGAUUGUUUGUUAUAUUUAAAUCCUGUUUCUUUCCCUUUGCCCCAGCUCUUAAGGACCUGCUUCACCUCCUUCUUCUUGUUACUCUCUGUCAGAAGGUGCCUUAGACUUCAGCAAGCUCUUGGGCCUCAGUUGCCCUGCUUCUGGUCAACCCUGUCUGGCUGGCAUUUGCCAACAAGGGGCUAGGUAGAUUUGGUGUUUUGUUGGAAAAAAAUAUCCUCUCUUCUCUAUGAGCAUUAAUUCUACUAAAGAUCUAUAACACUAAGAGUUGGUUUUGCCUUUGUGUACAUAGAUGACCAGAUUCCUGUGUAGCAUGCAAAUUGGAGGGUCCCUUGGUGCUCCUCAGUCAUACACUGACGCACUACCUGCUUGUCUGACCCUGUAGGAUGUCAAUGAGCCUCUCCUGGAGUUGUGACAUGUGCCCUAGAGGUCCCCCAUGUUUGAAAACACAAACUGUGACCGGAUACACGGAUAACCACAGUGAACGGGGGAAGGAAAUGAACACAUAGGCAUCACAUGGUUGUUUGGAGUUGACAGAUUGCCUACAGUUUAGAAGGUUCCAGAAGAAUAAAGAAGGGGACAUGCUCUAAGGAAGAAACGAAAUGCCGCAGGGAGAGCUUCCAGACCACACUAAUCUUCUCUGAUGGCUUUUGGCUUCUGGUCACGUGCUUCCAAAGGGACAGAUGUGCUUGCACAGACCCUGCCUCAGAUGGGGGCCUUUAUUUGAUCCUGUAGAGAUGGUAUGGCAAGAAUCUCAAACUGAACUAAUUUCAAGUCUGCCAAAAUUUGGCUGCUUAAGGACAAGGAUUUGUUCAUGUAACAAUGACAAAAACCGUUCCAGAAACUAACGGGAGUCAGUUCUGGAGGGAUAGAAGAACAUUGUCCUUGGGGGUGAUGAAGUGUUCAUAGUAGUGACUGGAUAACUUCUAGAGUACAGCAAAAGCUAUAAUGAAUGAAAAACUAACAAGUGGAGAAGAAAUUGUUACUGUGGCUUGGUCUUGCCCUCAAGAGAUUUAGCUUCUGAGAGUAUAAAUAGGUAAGUGUGCAAUUAUAAUCUCAAGUGAUAGGUACUAACAUAACACUAUGAGGGGGCAGCUAUGUCUCCCUAUGUGUAUUGUGUUAUGUAUGUGUUUGUGUG